RNAcentral lists this ribosomal RNA (504 nucleotides) under uncultured bacterium. RNAcentral describes it as "bacterial SSU rRNA". It matches the Rfam family "Bacterial small subunit ribosomal RNA", at positions 202 to 726 of the family's 1533-position model. The record is from RNAcentral.
AAAAACUCCGGUGGUAUGAGAUGGACCCGCGUCUGAUUAGCUGGUUGGAGGGGUAAUGGCCCACCAAGGCGACGAUCAGUAGCCGGCCUGAGAGGGUGAACGGCCACAUUGGGACUGAGACACGGCCCAGACUCCUACGGGAGGCAGCAGUGGGGAAUAUUGCACAAUGGGGGAAACCCUGAUGCAGCGACGCCGCGUGAAGGAAGAAGUAUCUCGGUAUGUAAACUUCUAUCAGCAGGGAAGAAAAUGACGGUACCUGACUAAGAAGCCCCGGCUAACUACGUGCCAGCAGCCGCGGUAAUACGUAGGGGGCAAGCGUUAUCCGGAUUUACUGGGUGUAAAGGGAGCGUAGACGGAAGAGCAAGUCUGAUGUGAAAGGCUGGGGCUUAACCCCAGGACUGCAUUGGAAACUGUUUUUCUAGAGUGCCGGAGAGGUAAGCGGAAUUCCUAGUGUAGCGGUGAAAUGCGUAGAUAUUAGGAGGAACACCAGUGGCGAAGGCGGCU